AUUGAACGCUGGCGGCAUGCCUUACACAUGCAAGUCGAACGGUAACAGGUCUUCGGACGCUGACGAGUGGCGAACGGGUGAAUAAUACAUCGGAACGUGCCCAGUCGUGGGGGAUAACUACUCGAAAGAGUAGCUAAUACCGCAUACGAUCUGAGGAUGAAAGCGGGGGACCUUCGGGCCUCGCGCGAUUGGAGCGGCCGAUGGCAGAUUAGGUAGUUGGUGGGAUAAAAGCUUACCAAGCCGACGAUCUGUAGCUGGUCUGAGAGGACGACCAGCCACACUGGGACUGAGACACGGCCCAGACUCCUACGGGAGGCAGCAGUGGGGAAUUUUGGACAAUGGGCGAAAGCCUGAUCCAGCAAUGCCGCGUGCAGGAUGAAGGCCUUCGGGUUGUAAACUGCUUUUGUACGGAACGAAAAAGCUCCUUCUAAUACAGGGGGCCCAUGACGGUACCGUAAGAAUAAGCACCGGCUAACUACGUGCCAGCCGCCGUAAAAC
This 498-nucleotide ribosomal RNA is filed under the name uncultured bacterium. Its description in RNAcentral is "partial 16S ribosomal RNA". It matches the Rfam family "Bacterial small subunit ribosomal RNA", at positions 30 to 526 of the family's 1533-position model. The record is from RNAcentral.